GUGAAUAGGGUUUGAUCCGAGUUUGAGUGAAUAGGUUUUGGUUAGGGUCUGAACCUGAGUCAGAAAUUUGGGUUAGCCUGAUGUGAGUAUAAUCUGGUUCGCCAAGAUUUGAUCUAAUCUGGUCUGGUCAGACCUGGUUUGGGUUGGGCUAGGGACCUGUUUUUGGGCUGAGUUGGGUCUGAUUGGAUUUGUGGGCUGGUUUGGUUUAGGCCCGAAAUCUGAUCCGGACCUGUUAUCCGGUUUGGUUCAAUUGGGCCUAAUCUGUUUGGGCCACAAUUGACUUGGGUUUAAAAGAUCCUGAUUUUAGGGUCUAUGUUUGAUCUUAGGGGCCCAUUCUUAGAUCCAUGAACUUAGAAAUUUAAGAGAUUGGGAAUAGUUUAAAUUAUGUUUCUUAGUUAAUUAAAUAAUUAAUGUUUGUGUUUUAAUCAGGGGUUCGUGAUAUCAGUGGCAGGGAUUUUUAAGCGAACCCAGGUAGGUAACCUUGCUUAAAGUAUGAUUUACAUGUACUAUGCAUAUGUGUGAUUAUUUCCAGCAUAUUGAUAUGUUUUAUAUUCUUGGCAGUAUUAUUAUUUAGAAGCAUGUUUUUGACUGUAAAUCGAUCAUCU
This 605-nucleotide long non-coding RNA is filed under the name Phoenix dactylifera (date palm). Its description in RNAcentral is "long non-coding RNA (PDAC_LNC019528)". The record is from RNAcentral. Lineage: Eukaryota; Viridiplantae; Streptophyta; Magnoliopsida; Arecales; Arecaceae.